GACGAACGCUGGCGGCGUGCUUAACACAUGCAAGUCGAACGGAAAGGCCCUGCUUUUGUGGGGUGCUCGAGUGGCGCACGGGUGAGUAACACGUGAGUAACCUGCCCUUGACUUUGGGAUAACUUCAGGAAACUGGGGCUAAUACCGGAUAGGAGCUCCUGCUGCAUGGUGGGGGUUGGAAAGUUUCGGCGGUUGGGGAUGGACUCGCGGCUUAUCAGCUUGUUGGUGGGGUAGUGGCUUACCAAGGCUUUGACGGGUAGCCGGCCUGAGAGGGUGACCGGGCACAUUGGGACUGAGAUACGGCCCAGACGCCUACGGGAGGCAGCAGGGGGGAAUAUUGCACAAUGGGCGGAAGCCUGAUGCAGCAACGCCGCGUGCGGGAUGACGGCCUUCGGGUUGUAAACCGCUUUCGCCUGUGACGAAGCGUGAGUGACGGUAAUGGGUAAAGAAGCACCGGCUAACUACGUG
Molecule: ribosomal RNA, 468 nt
Filed under: uncultured bacterium
Lineage: Bacteria
Description: partial 16S ribosomal RNA
Rfam family: Bacterial small subunit ribosomal RNA
Source: RNAcentral